This 442-nucleotide ribosomal RNA is filed under the name uncultured bacterium. RNAcentral's name for it is "partial 16S ribosomal RNA". It matches the Rfam family "Bacterial small subunit ribosomal RNA", at positions 338 to 795 of the family's 1533-position model. The record is from RNAcentral.
ACUACGGGUGGCUGCAGUGGGGAAUAUUGGGCAAUGGGCGCAAGCCUGACCCAGCAACGCCGCGUGAAGGAAGAAGGCUCUCGGGUUGUAAACUUCUUUUCUGGGGGACGAACAAAUGACGGUACCCCAGGACUAAGCCACGGCUAACUACGUGCCAGCAGCCGCGGUAAUACGGAGUGGGCAAGCCUAAUCCGGAUUUGCUGGGUGUAACGGGCGUGGAGGCGGGAAUGCAGAUCAGAUGCGCAAACUCAGGGCUCAAACCUGAGCCUGCAUUUGAAACUGGGUUUCUUGAGUGCUGGAGAGGUAAUCGGAAUGCGGGGUGUAGCGGUGAAAUGCGUAGAUAUACGGAGGAACACCGGUGGCGAAGGCGGAUUGCUGGACAGUAACUGACGCUGAGGCGCGAAAGCGUGGGGAGCAAACAGGAUUAGAUACCCCUGUAGUC